AUUGAACGCUGGCGGCAUGCUUUACACAUGCAAGUCGAACGGCAGCACAGGGAGCUUGCUCCUGGGUGGCGAGUGGCGAACGGGUGAGUAAUGUAUCGGAACGUGCCUGGUAGUGGGGGAUAACUACUCGAAAGAGUGGCUAAUACCGCAUGAGAUCUUUGGAUGAAAGCGGGGGACCUUCGGGCCCCGUGCUACUGGAGCGGCCGAUAUCAGAUUAGGUUGUUGGUGGGGUAAAGGCCUACCAAGCCUGCGAUCUGUAGCUGGUCUGAGAGGACGACCAGCCACACUGGGACUGAGACACGGCCCAGACUCCUACGGGAGGCAGCAGUGGGGAAUUUUGGACAAUGGGCGCAAGCCUGGUCCAGCAAUGCCGCGUGCAGGACGAAGGCCUUCGGGUUGUAAACUGCUUUUGUACAGAACGAAAAGUCUCUGGCUAAUAUCUAGAGAUCAUGACGGUACUGUAAGAAUAAGCACCGGCUAACUACGUG
This 488-nucleotide ribosomal RNA is filed under the name uncultured bacterium. RNAcentral's name for it is "partial 16S ribosomal RNA". It matches the Rfam family "Bacterial small subunit ribosomal RNA", at positions 30 to 507 of the family's 1533-position model. The record is from RNAcentral.